This 1154-nucleotide long non-coding RNA is filed under the name Triticum aestivum (bread wheat). RNAcentral's name for it is "long non-coding RNA (TAES_LNC007416)". Lineage: Eukaryota; Viridiplantae; Streptophyta; Magnoliopsida; Poales; Poaceae. The record is from RNAcentral.
GGCGAAAGGACAGUGCAGCUUGGCCUGGAGAUUGAGACAAACAAAGUUACUACUUCAUGCAUGAUAGGUGAGGUAUGUUUCUUGAGAAAUGACUGAAAAUACCUAUAUAAAAUAUCCGGAGGCGUCGGCGGCGGUGACGUGCUAUUAAGGACCUCUUCCAACUUAUGCAAAAGUUUUCUACAGAACUUCUUCCAAAAUAAUAAUACUUCUCAUGUUAAUCUUAUAAUAUUUCUGUGAUGUGUAUAUAUGCUCCUCGUGAUCAUUGUCACGUAGUAGCACUAGUAAUAAUAAAGCUUGAUCAUGUUAAUCUUACAAUAUGUUUUUUCUGCUCUGCUGACCAAAUGCCUCCCUCUCUUUUUCUUCCUUGACUGCUUCAGUUUAUCCCAGAUUGUAUUAUUUUCUUAAACUGAACGUGUUGCUUGAGUGCUUGACUAAUUUGGAACUGAUCAGUUUUCUUAUAGCCGGUUGUCGGAGAGUUCAGACAACCGAGAGGUACAAUAUCAUGUCUGCUUCCUGUUAAUUCCUUUAUUGGAAGGCAUGCUGAUGCAGGUUCUGUUACUUAGAUUAGGAUCAGUCGAACUGGAUUAGCAAUGUCCAUAACAAAUUGCAUCUUUCCAUGCUCGGUUUACCUUGUGCAGCUAGUAUGUGUGCCCUUUUUUAUCCAGUAGAGAGGUUUCUGAUUUGUUUAACCACUUGGACAGAAAAAUCCAUGCUGAUAUUUGAUAAUGUAAUAUCGUACAAUGAUUAUUGUUUUUAAGAAGUAAAAAAAACAUACUUAAAAUCACUACCUUUUCUCUGCAGGUUUCUUGCCGGAAGUUGAUGGAAAUAUUCAAGAAGUUGAUGAUGGAAGUUACUCCGAGCUUAGUAUGGAGCAUGGACAGUUCACAUAACUGCAAUUUAAUAAAUGGAACAAAAUAUUGUAUACUUUUGGACUUGUAACUACAAGUACCAUUUUCCCUGCUGAUGAUGCAUAAUUUGUUUGACUUGACAUGUAAUUAAGACUGGUAUGCAUGUGUGGAUGUGAGUUGAAUAUAUUCUAAAUAUUGUGUAUUUUGAUUUUCCUGAAUUUCCCUUCAAAAUUAUAUUUCAGAUUUUAUUCUCAAUUGUUUUCAACCUCUGUGAAACGGGACAGUAUAUAUACUGGAAUUGCUAUG